RNAcentral lists this ribosomal RNA (726 nucleotides) under Salmonella enterica subsp. enterica serovar Typhimurium. RNAcentral describes it as "partial 23S ribosomal RNA". It matches the Rfam family "Bacterial large subunit ribosomal RNA", at positions 161 to 827 of the family's 2925-position model. The record is from RNAcentral. Lineage: Bacteria; Pseudomonadati; Pseudomonadota; Gammaproteobacteria; Enterobacterales; Enterobacteriaceae.
AAUCCAUAGGUUAAUGAGGCGAACCGGGGGAACUGAAACAUCUAAGUACCCCGAGGAAAAGAAAUCAACCGAGAUUCCCCCAGUAGCGGCGAGCGAACGGGGAGGAGCCCAGAGCCUGAAUCAGCAUGUGUGUUAGUGGAAGCGUCUGGAAAGGCGCGCGAUACAGGGUGACAGCCCCGUACACAAAAGCGCAUGUGCUGUGAGCUCGAUGAGUAGGGCGGGACACGUGGUAUCCUGUCUGAAUAUGGGGGGACCAUCCUCCAAGGCUAAAUACUCCUGACUGACCGAUAGUGAACCAGUACCGUGAGGGAAAGGCGAAAAGAACCCCGGCGAGGGGAGUGAAAAAGAACCUGAAACCGUGUACGUACAAGCAGUGGGAGCCCCACCACUAAGCCAGUGGUGAACUCCACAUCCGCAUCCUUUGCUGAGGAUACGGUUAACGGAGCGAAAGCGACGUUCAACCGCAAAACAAGCAGAGGGGGCUUAGUGGUGGGGUGACUGCGUACCUUUUGUAUAAUGGGUCAGCGACUUAUAUUCUGUAGCAAGGUUAACCGAAUAGGGGAGCCGGAGGGAAACCGAGUCUUAAUUGGGCGUUAAGUUGCAGGGUAUAGACCCGAAACCCGGUGAUCUAGCCAUGGGCAGGUUGAAGGUUGGGUAACACUAACUGGAGGACCGAACCGACUAAUGUUGAAAAAUUAGCGGAUGACCUGUGGCUGGGGGUGAAAG